This 1070-nucleotide ribosomal RNA is filed under the name Salmonella enterica. Its description in RNAcentral is "partial 23S ribosomal RNA". It matches the Rfam family "Bacterial large subunit ribosomal RNA", at positions 711 to 1773 of the family's 2925-position model. Lineage: Bacteria; Pseudomonadati; Pseudomonadota; Gammaproteobacteria; Enterobacterales; Enterobacteriaceae. The record is from RNAcentral.
AGACCCGAAACCCGGUGAUCUAGCCAUGGGCAGGUUGAAGGUUGGGUAACACUAACUGGAGGACCGAACCGACUAAUGUUGAAAAAUUAGCGGAUGACCUGUGGCUGGGGGUGAAAGGCCAAUCAAACCGGGAGAUAGCUGGUUCUCCCCGAAAGCUAUUUAGGUAGCGCCUCGUGAAUUCAUCUCCGGGGGUAGAGCACUGUUUCGGCUAGGGGGCCAUCCCGGCUUACCAACCCGAUGCAAACUGCGAAUACCGGAGAAUGUUAUCACGGGAGACACACGGCGGGUGCUAACGUCCGUCGUGAAGAGGGAAACAACCCAGACCGCCAGCUAAGGUCCCAAAGUCAUGGUUAAGUGGGAAACGAUGUGGGAAGGCCCAGACAGCCAGGAUGUUGGCUUAGAAGCAGCCAUCAUUUAAAGAAAGCGUAAUAGCUCACUGGUCGAGUCGGCCUGCGCGGAAGAUGUAACGGGGCUAAACCAUGCACCGAAGCUGCGGCAGCGACGCUUAUGCGUUGUUGGGUAGGGGAGCGUUCUGUAAGCCUGUGAAGGUGGCCUGUGAGGGUUGCUGGAGGUAUCAGAAGUGCGAAUGCUGACAUAAGUAACGAUAAAGCGGGUGAAAAGCCCGCUCGCCGGAAGACCAAGGGUUCCUGUCCAACGUUAAUCGGGGCAGGGUGAGUCGACCCCUAAGGCGAGGCCGAAAGGCGUAGUCGAUGGGAAACAGGUUAAUAUUCCUGUACUUGGUGUUACUGCGAAGGGGGGACGGAGAAGGCUAUGUUGGCCGGGCGACGGUUGUCCCGGUUUAAGCGUGUAGGUGUGUGUUCCAGGUAAAUCCGGUUCACUUUAACACUGAGGCGUGAUGACGAGGCACUACGGUGCUGAAGCAACAAAUGCCCUGCUUCCAGGAAAAGCCUCUAAGCAUCAGGUAACAUCAAAUCGUACCCCAAACCGACACAGGUGGUCAGGUAGAGAAUACCAAGGCGCUUGAGAGAACUCGGGUGAAGGAACUAGGCAAAAUGGUGCCGUAACUUCGGGAGAAGGCACGCUGACACGUAGGUGAAGUGAUUUACUCA